UCCCCGAGAAUCCCUGUGCUUCCUUCGAACUAGGUCAAAUCUCUUCCCCAUGAUGCUAUUCAGAGUCUUCAGGAGCAUGUCACUUCAAAUACCAUCGGAAAAGCUCUUUGAGAGCUCAAGCCUUUGAAGGCCGGCGGUCCUGAUGGGGUUCCCGCAAUCUUUUCCCAAAAACCUCAAAUGGGUAGUGUAAGCGACUCUGUUUGUUCGCUUGUCAAUAUUUUAUUUUAACUGUAGAGUCGUGCCUCGAGGAGUUUGGGACACUUUGAAUUCCAUUAUUCCCUAGUUUCGAGGUCCUGAUUCUUUGAAUCAAUAUCGUCUGAUUAGUCAUUGUAAAAAAGUCGAAGAGAGUGUUUGGUAAAGGCAUACGUUAUGGUACUAACGACGAAGGCUCCGCUUUGGGACGUCAACUGAUCGGGUCUUGGAACCAUUAAGGAAUUCUGUAGUUGGCCCUCUCAAUGAAGACACAGCAAAGUGCAUUGGAAUUCAGUGAUUUUAGCAUACACCGACCUAUGAGGCUGCCAAUGAUGUUGCGGAGACGAAUACAAGCCACAUGAACCGGGAUUGUGUACGGAAAUUCGACACUCUUAUGAGAUCAAGCAUAUCAUUUGGCAAUGUCUUCUCAAUAGCAUCACUGCCCAAGCUACAUUAGCGUCUGUCCACAAUGUGGUCUUCAACCUGUGACUACUCUACGCCUUCCCAGAGAUGGCGUAGUCGCUGCGACCUUUUGAAAUGCUUUAAAUAUUUCACCUCGGCAAGGAAUUCAUUUGGAGAGAAUCUUGGGGACAGGCCUAGAAUUCCUUGAAAGAAAUGGGAAUUUGUCACUGUCACUGAUGCUAAAAGCAAAACGGGGAAGAGAGCAAGAAUGUUAUGCAAAUGGAACCUCAACAAGGCUGGAUGAGAU
This is a long non-coding RNA of Syzygium oleosum, 901 nucleotides long. RefSeq lists it as uncharacterized. The record is from RefSeq and is a predicted model, not a curated record. The transcript has 3 exons. NCBI's taxonomy places the organism in Eukaryota, Viridiplantae, Streptophyta, Magnoliopsida, Myrtales, Myrtaceae.